Molecule: ribosomal RNA, 498 nt
Filed under: uncultured bacterium
Lineage: Bacteria
Description: bacterial SSU rRNA
Rfam family: Bacterial small subunit ribosomal RNA
Source: RNAcentral
AGUCAAUAGAUACCCAGGUAGUCCACGCCGUAAACGAUGAAUACUAGGUGUAGGGGUUGUCAUGACCUCUGUGCCGCCGCAAACGCAUUAAGUAUUCCGCCUGGGGAGUACGGUCGCAAGAUUAAAACUCAAAGGAAUUGACGGGGGCCCGCACAAGCAGCGGAGCAUGUGGCUUAAUUCGAAGCAACGCGAAGAACCUUACCUAGACUUGACAUCUCCUGAAUUACUCUGUAAUGGAGGAAGCCCUUCGGGGCAGGAAGACAGGUGGUGCAUGGUUGUCGUCAGCUCGUGUCGUGAGAUGUUGGGUUAAGUCCCGCAACGAGCGCAACCCUUAUUGUUAGUCGCUACCAUUAAGUUGAGCACUCUAGCGAGACUGCCCGGGUUAACCGGGAGGAAGGUGGGGAUGACGUCAAAUCAUCAUGCCCCUUAUGUCUAGGGCUACACACGUGCUACAAUGGCUGGUACAGAGAGAUGCUAAACCGUGAGGUGGAGCCAAAC